This is an RNA transcript of Cucumis melo (muskmelon), 1834 nucleotides long. It is a transcript of the gene named inner membrane protein PPF-1, chloroplastic, with no coding region annotated. The record is from RefSeq and is a predicted model, not a curated record. NCBI's taxonomy places the organism in Eukaryota, Viridiplantae, Streptophyta, Magnoliopsida, Cucurbitales, Cucurbitaceae. The transcript has 14 exons.
CUUCUUCUUCUUCCUCCUCCACUGGACUGUCAGCCCCUUUCUUCUUCAACCAUUUCCUCUCUCUUUCUCUCAUGAGAAACUGAAUUUUCUUCUUCCUUUGAUUCCUUUGCCGAAUCAAAACCCUCCCAUGGCGAAAACCCUCAUUUCAUCUUCACCUUUCGUCGGUUCUUCUCUCCCAUCCCUUUCUCGCCAUGUUCCUCUCCGGAGACACCUCACCACCAGAGUCAAUUUCAGCUUCCAUGAACUUCCCCCUAUCCAUUCCUUUCAUUCUUCCUUCGAUUUUCCAGCAAUUUUUAGCAGAGCCGAAGGCCUGCUCUAUACACUUGCUGACGCUGCCGUUGCAGUGGAUUCUACUGUUUCAGGUGGCGCCACAUCUACUUCUCCUGAUAUUACGGUGCAGAAGAAUGGUGGAUGGUUUGGAUUUAUCUCCGAGGCCAUGGAAGUGGUUCUUAAAGUGUUGAAGGGUGGCCUUGAGGCUGUGCACGUCCCGUAUUCAUAUGGAUUUGCAAUUAUCUUACUUACUAUUAUCGUUAAAGUUGCAACUCUUCCUCUAACUAAGCAGCAGGUUGAGUCGACAUUGGCUAUGCAAAAUCUUCAACCGAAGAUCAAAGCUAUCCAACAAAGAUAUGCAGGCAAUCAGGAAAGAAUACAACUUGAGACAUCACGGCUUUAUAGGCAAGCAGGAGUUAACCCUUUGGCAGGCUGUUUACCAACUUUAGCCACCAUACCUGUUUGGAUUGGCCUAUAUCAGGCUCUUUCUAAUGUGGCAAAUGAGGGAUUACUGACUGAAGGUUUCUUUUGGAUUCCCUCUCUUGGUGGACCAACUACUAUUGCUGCUCGACAAAGUGGAGCUGGUAUCUCUUGGUUGUUGCCUUUUGUGGAUGGCCAUCCACCAUUGGGCUGGUCUGACACUGCAGCAUACCUUGUAUUACCUGUUCUCCUUGUCGUAUCUCAGUACGUAUCGAUGGAAAUCAUGAAGCCUCCCCAGACUGAUGAUCCAGCACAAAAGAACACACUCCUUAUUUUCAAGUUUCUUCCCCUCAUGAUCGGUUACUUCUCAUUGUCUGUUCCAUCCGGAUUAUCAAUUUACUGGUUCACGAACAAUGUUCUUAGCACAGCUCAGCAAGUAUGGUUACGCAAAUUAGGAGGUGCAAAGCCUGUUGUAAAUGAGAAUGCUCCUGGAAUCAUAACAGCCGGACGUGCCAAACGAACGCCCGAAUCAGAAAGAACGGGUGACAGGUUUAGGCAAUUAAGGGAAGAUGAGAAGAAGAAUAAAUUAAGCAAGGCAGCUCGAUCUGAAGAUAUUCAAACUUUGGCUUCUGAGUCCGAUACUGAGGAUGGGUAUGAUGGGGAGACAACUGAGAAGGGUGAGGACAGUCUAGAAGAGGCAUAUGCAUCAAGUGACAAAGACAUCCCAGCCUAUAAUCGACAAAAGAGAAGCAAGCGAUCAAAGAGGAAACGCGCAGUGUGAAAGAUUAUACACUGAUAUAUUUGUAGCUUAUGAAUUCAGCAAUGCAGCUUACUUGUGUAAGAAGAAACAAAUGGAUGCUUUGGUCAUUUGGUUGAUGGAGGCAGAUGAUUCCCCUUUGGAUUUGGCACUGAUGGCUUUUUAUAAACUCUCUUCUCAAUUGCCUGCUUUCAAUCAUCAUAACAAUGAACACACAGUCUCAGUGGAAGAUCAAACCGUCGAUGUUUAGGAUAGUAAUGGAUAGAGCCAUGCUUGAUCUUUAGAAUACUAAUGGGUGGAGAAUUGACUGAUGCUUUUGAGGUUUCAUUUGAUGUAAAAGAUAUAAAAAUAUACCGAUAUAUAGAUGCAUCACAUUUAUUUCUCGAA